RNAcentral lists this unclassified non-coding RNA (281 nucleotides) under Hevea brasiliensis (rubber tree). The record is from RNAcentral. Lineage: Eukaryota; Viridiplantae; Streptophyta; Magnoliopsida; Malpighiales; Euphorbiaceae.
UCCAUCGGCAUAAAAUUGGUGUAGCUCUACUAAGGCUGCUUGAAACACGCCCGUCGUGUACAAUAGGAUCUCUAGGCUAAAGAGUAGUCGAUUCCUCUCUUAUGCAAACAGGGAUAAUAUUCAAGUCUAUGGAAGAUCUCUAAGAAAAAAUAUGCACAAAACAACUUAAUGUCUUAAUUUAACCUUGAGCUAGAGCUACACCAAUUUUAUGCCGAUGGAAUGUGAUUUCCCUCAAUCCCCUUUGGUUGGAGGUUGCAUACAUGCACAGAAAUGCCCUUUCU